GUUGUGUCAUAAUGAUGGUGGAAUUGAGGAGGAGGAGGAGGAGAAAGGGGAUGUCAUUUCACAAAUGAUUCAGCUACAGUCAUACUUCUCUUCCUACUUAUUUCACUGAGUAUCUGACAAUCAAGAAAGGUGCAAUUAUCUAAAGUAAAGAAACUGCUAUAUUAACAGAAAUAGUCUUUUACCACAGAGAUUAAACAUGGAAUUUCAAGGGCUCAUUCAUCAACACGUUGCUUACAUGUUACAGUUUCAGAACUCAGCAGAGCUGCCUGAAGAACUGGGGAUUCUUCCACAUCCAUUGGACACUGGAGAAACUUACGCAGGUUCUGCAUUUAUGGCCGUCAUAAAGAACUUCAGUAUCUCAGUGAUCUCAUCUGCAUCAAUGGCUCUCAUCAAGUUAACGGCUUUAUGACAGAACUAUGCUAUUUUAGACACGAUAUUUUAUAUGAUGUUUUUUAACAUAAAAUUAGAAUUUCUUGAAAAUCAACAAAACCUGAGCAUUUACUAAGACGAAUAUCAUUUAGUAAAAAAAAAAAAAAAAAAAAAAAAAAAAAGCAAGCUAUAUUUCAUUCUAGGGUCUGCGUCUUUAAAGAUCUAACUGGUGUAUACAUGUCUUUGUUGUGUGAUGCAGCGGUU
This 633-nucleotide long non-coding RNA is filed under the name Anser brachyrhynchus (Pink-footed goose). Its description in RNAcentral is "lncRNA (ENSABRG00000022564.1)". The record is from RNAcentral. Lineage: Eukaryota; Metazoa; Chordata; Aves; Anseriformes; Anatidae.